UUCCGGUUGAUCCUGCCGGAGGCCAUUGCUAUCGGGGUCCGAUUUAGCCAUGCUAGUUGUGCGGGUUCAGACCCGCAGCAAAUAGCUCCGUAACACGUGGCCAAACUACCCUACGGAAGAGAAUAACCUCGGGAAACUGAGGCUAACACUCUAUACGGUUCCGACGCUGGAAUGCCCGGAACUGGAAACGUUCCGACGCCGUAGGAUGUGGCUGCGGCCGAUUAGGUAGACGGUGGGGUAACGGCCCACCGUGCCGAUAAUCGGUACGGGUUGUGAGAGCAAGAACCCGGAGACGGAAUCUGAGACAAGAUUCCGGGCCCUACGGGGCGCAGCAGGCGCGAAACCUUUACACUGCACGACAGUGCGAUAAGGGGACCCCGAGUGCGAGGGCAUACAGUCCUCGCUUUUCUGAACGGUAAGGACGUUCAGGAACAAGUGCUGGGCAAGACCGGUGCCAGCCGCCGCGGU
RNAcentral lists this ribosomal RNA (468 nucleotides) under uncultured archaeon. Its description in RNAcentral is "bacterial SSU rRNA". It matches the Rfam family "Archaeal small subunit ribosomal RNA", at positions 1 to 471 of the family's 1478-position model. The record is from RNAcentral.